AGAGUUUGAUCCUGGCUCAGAUUGAACGCUGGCGGCAGGCUUAACACAUGCAAGUCGAGCGGAGAUGAGGUGCUUGCACCUUAUCUUAGCGGCGGACGGGUGAGUAAUGCUUAGGAAUCUGCCAUUUAGUGGGGGACAACAUUCCGAAAGGAAUGCUAAUACCGCAUACGUCCUACGGGAGAAAGCAGGGGAUCUUCGGACCUUGCGCUAAAUGAUGAGCCUAAGUCGGAUUAGCUAGUUGGUGGGGUAAAGGCCUACCAAGGCGACGAUCUGUAGCGGGUCUGAGAGGAUGAUCCGCCACACUGGGACUGAGACACGGCCCAGACUCCUACGGGAGGCAGCAGUGGGGAAUAUUGGACAAUGGGCGGAAGCCUGAUCCAGCCAUGCCGCGUGUGUGAAGAAGGCCUUUUGGUUGUAAAGCACUUUAAGCGAGGAGGAGGCUACUAGUACUAAUACUACUGGAUAGUGGACGUUACUCGCAGA
RNAcentral lists this ribosomal RNA (483 nucleotides) under Acinetobacter sp. AKB-2008-4362A. RNAcentral describes it as "bacterial SSU rRNA". It matches the Rfam family "Bacterial small subunit ribosomal RNA", at positions 8 to 485 of the family's 1533-position model. The record is from RNAcentral. Lineage: Bacteria; Pseudomonadati; Pseudomonadota; Gammaproteobacteria; Moraxellales; Moraxellaceae.